UGUCAUAUGAUUUAUUUAGCUUGGUUACGACAAUUUAUACACUGCUUUACAAUGAAGAUAUUAUUUUACAUAUUUUACAUUAGAUAUACAAUAGUUUACUACAUGAUUAUAAUGGAAGCAGUGACUUAAUAUUGGCUCUCUAUAUAUAAAAAUCUGGAAAUAAUGCCCUAUAAAACACUAAAAAAGCACUUGAAAAGCCAUUGAACCACAUAAAAAUUUAUUUUACGAUUCUAUAAAUAUUAACCACUUCAUUGCAUAAUAAAAAUUUCUGUUUACAAAAAAUCAUAAUUUUAAGAAAGGAUCAAAAGUCACUGCAUGAAAUGAGUAUGAAUGAACUUAACAAUGGAAACUACAAUUUCUGAGAUCAAUUGAAAAACUUUCUUGUUGCAUGUGGGCAGCAACUUUAAGGCAAGAAAAAAGAAGAAAAUAAAAAUGUAACAUACACAAGUAUAUAUGUACACACCAUACACUCUCACAUCUAUAAGCACUCAUCACUAUACACUAUAUGACUAGCAUCAGGCACUAAAAGUUGUCUCUGUAUUCAUUGAAAUUCUGUCAAUUUCUUUAGAAGACUUAAAAAAAUGCUUCUUUUUUUCAGAUGAUAUCUCAAAUAUAAAGGAAGAAAAAU
RNAcentral lists this long non-coding RNA (628 nucleotides) under Mytilus galloprovincialis (Mediterranean mussel). The record is from RNAcentral. Lineage: Eukaryota; Metazoa; Mollusca; Bivalvia; Mytilida; Mytilidae.